Felis catus (domestic cat) is the source of this 817-nucleotide long non-coding RNA. RefSeq lists it as uncharacterized. The record is from RefSeq and is a predicted model, not a curated record. Lineage: Eukaryota; Metazoa; Chordata; Mammalia; Carnivora; Felidae. The transcript is spliced from 2 exons.
GCAGCUGGCCUCCAGACUCGGCACCUUGCUGUGCCACCACCGCUGUGUGCCCUCAGUGGCAAGGGCGGUGGUGGCGGCUGGCACUGGGCUAAGUGACCACCUCCUGAACAUCACUCCCUUUCCUCCUCUCGACAACGUUUUGACGUGUGGACAUCAGCUGGCAACUGAGGAUGCAGAGAGCUUAACUACCUGAUGCAAGGGCGCGCGUCUCAUCGGUGGCAGAGCUGGCACUGGACACGUGGGCCGCUGCUCUGAAGCACAUGGCUUGGCAAGUUGCCAUUGACAGUCCUCCUUGUUGUCACACCACGAGAGGCUGGUCUCCCACCCCCAAAUCCUCAGAAUUACCCAGGCACUCAAACUAUCUCCAUGCCUGGGCCCACCCCAGACCCACUAAAGCAGCCUUUCUGGGACGUGGGCACCAGUAUGUUGCAGGCUUUGCAGGUGAUUGCUGUGCCUUGCCACGUUUGAGAAGCCUUGCUCUUCUAGUCCACCCCUCACAGAUCACUUUCCUCCCCGUGUGGUCUUCACUGCCCUGUCCAGUCCUCUCUCUCCUGGUAGAUCAGAGGAGCCUUCCUCUCCAGGGGCUUUCACCUCUGUCCCAUACCCCUGACUGCUUCCCGGGCUAGGACGCCCUGCCCACCAGGGGUCCCACACCCUCAUCCCCGGGUUGCACCCCUCUUCCUUGCCUUGAUACCCGUUCCUCUCUCUGGGUCAGAUCCCUUCCACCCCCAUUACACCUCCCACCACCACCGUCUUUCCAGGUGUUGUUAUGGGUUCCUACUUGGAAGAAUAAAGGCCAGAUGCCCAUUAUGCAGAA